CCCCACUUCUCCCUAAGCCCCCUCAUCUACUAACCCCUACUCCAGCUUUAGGUCUCAGUGGAGUGUAGCUGUCCCUGGGAUGCAUUCCGAGGAUGCCGAGCUCUUUUCCUUUCACAGCACCGGGGGGUCUCGGGAGCUGCUUCUUUGGGCCCCCACUGGAAGGCUCCCGACCAUAUUCCCAGAGCCUCACCAACGUCUGGAACAUGAUGCGCCCUCAUCAAUAUUGGAAAGCUGUUCAAGGACAGGCAGCCCUUGGGCCCAGCCGGUGCCCAGGCCCAAGAGCCGAGGAGGCAGGAGGAGGCCAGGACCUCACAGGCUGGCAGCAACGUCUGCAGCAGGU
RNAcentral lists this long non-coding RNA (340 nucleotides) under Dasypus novemcinctus (nine-banded armadillo). RNAcentral describes it as "lncRNA (ENSDNOG00000050661.1)". Lineage: Eukaryota; Metazoa; Chordata; Mammalia; Cingulata; Dasypodidae. The record is from RNAcentral.